Molecule: ribosomal RNA, 408 nt
Filed under: bacterium enrichment culture clone ALO1_GLFRUDD03HGGWC
Lineage: Bacteria
Description: bacterial SSU rRNA
Rfam family: Bacterial small subunit ribosomal RNA
Source: RNAcentral
GAGUUUGAUCCUGGCCUCAGAUUGAACGCUGGCGGCAUGCCUUACACAUGCAAGUCGAACGGCAGCACGGGAGCUUGCUCCUGGUGGCGAGUGGCGAACGGGUGAGUAAUGCAUCGGAACGUAUCCUGGAGUGGGGGAUAACGUAGCGAAAGUUACGCUAAUACCGCAUAUUCUGUGAGCAGGAAAGCGGGGGACCUUCGGGCCUCGCGCUCUUGGAGCGGCCGAUGUCGGAUUAGCUAGUUGGUGAGGUAAAGGCUCACCAAGGCGACGAUCCGUAGCAGGUCUGAGAGGAUGAUCUGCCACACUGGAACUGAGACACGGUCCAGACUCCUACGGGAGGCAGCAGUGGGGAAUUUUGGACAAUGGGGGCAACCCUGAUCCAGCCAUGCCGCGUGAGUGAAGAAGGCC